Molecule: ribosomal RNA, 467 nt
Filed under: uncultured bacterium
Lineage: Bacteria
Description: partial 16S ribosomal RNA
Rfam family: Bacterial small subunit ribosomal RNA
Source: RNAcentral
ACGCACGCUGGCGGCGUGCUUCACCCCUGCCAGUCGAACGGAAAGGCCCUGCUUUUGUGGGGUGCUCGAGUGGCGAACGGGUGAGUAACACGUGAGUAACCUGCCCUUGACUUUGGGAUAACUUCAGGAAACUGGGGCUAAUACCGGAUAGGAGCUCCUGCUGCAUGGUGGGGGUUGGAAAGUUUCGGCGGUUGGGGAUGGACUCGCGGCUUAUCAGCUUGUUGGUGGGGUAGUGGCUUACCAAGGCUUUGACGGGUAGCCGGCCUGAGAGGGUGACCGGCCACAUUGGGACUGAGAUACGGCCCAGACUCCUACGGGAGGCAGCAGUGGGGAAUAUUGCACAAUGGGCGAAAGCCUGAUGCAGCAACGCCGCGUGCGGGAUGACGGCCUUCGGGUUGUAAACCGCUUUCGCCUGUGACGAAGCGUGAGUGACGGUAAUGGGUAAAGAAGCACCGGCUAACUACGUG